This 64-nucleotide small RNA is filed under the name Castor canadensis (American beaver). RNAcentral's name for it is "XIST 3' intron conserved motif (ENSCCNG00000013215.1)". The record is from RNAcentral. Lineage: Eukaryota; Metazoa; Chordata; Mammalia; Rodentia; Castoridae.
GCAACCUUGUCUAUUUUUAAUUCAUUCACAGAGGGUGGAACAGGAGGAAAGUGAAGGGAAAGGC